AGAUGCCAACCCAGAGAUAUAGAGUGAGGAGAAGGGAUUAGGGAAGCACCUACAUAUCUGUGGGAUGCUGAACCUGUUCAAGUCAUCCCUGACAUAGUCGCACCGCAGCAAACACGGCGACAACGUGCAAGGGAUGAUACCACCCAAGUACCAUCUGAUCAACCCGUUCCACCAGUGACGCAAACAGCAGAAUAACUGCAUAAGAUUCCUUCAACACAUCGAUCAGCUGACCAGAUAGCUGAUGCAAUGACAAGCCAGCUGAAAGAGUCAACUUACUGUCAAUAAAAGAGAAACGGUACCGUUAUCAACAAAUUGUUUGGCAAAUUUAUUAACAGAUGGGGAUUCUAAUGUGCAUACUGGCAGAAGAGACAUUAUCAACACAAAGACAACACAUAUUGCAGAAAGUCAACCAACUAAUCCAUCAUUUGUAUUGGCAUCACCACUUGUAACAAACCCUGAUAUGUUAGGCUACUCUGGAUAAGACACAAUUGGAAGUCCACACGCGUUAGGCAUUGACAGUUCCAAUAUGCGUAACACAGCUUCAUAUAUUUUAAAGAACACUUUUCUGCUUGGUUUAAAUGUUUAGGAG
Molecule: long non-coding RNA, 589 nt
Filed under: Mytilus galloprovincialis (Mediterranean mussel)
Lineage: Eukaryota; Metazoa; Mollusca; Bivalvia; Mytilida; Mytilidae
Source: RNAcentral